RNAcentral lists this ribosomal RNA (500 nucleotides) under uncultured bacterium. RNAcentral's name for it is "partial 16S ribosomal RNA". It matches the Rfam family "Bacterial small subunit ribosomal RNA", at positions 28 to 523 of the family's 1533-position model. The record is from RNAcentral.
GAUUAACGCUAGCGGCAGGCAUAAUACAUGCAAGUUGAACGAGAUAAGUUUUAGCAAUAGAACCUUGAAAGUGGCGCACGGGUGCGUAACACGUAUGCAACCUACCUUUUACUGGGGAAUAGCCUCUCGAAAGAGAGAUUAAUACCCCAUAAUAUAUUGAUAAGGCAUCUUAUUAAUAUUAAAGUUACGGCGGUAAAAGAUGGGCAUGCGGCUGAUUAGGUAGUUGGUGGGGUAAUGGCUCACCAAGCCGACGAUCAGUAGGGGGUCUGAGAGGAUGUCCCCCCACACUGGUACUGAGACACGGACCAGACUCCUACGGGAGGCAGCAGUAGGGAAUAUUGGACAAUGGGCGCAAGCCUGAUCCAGCCACGCCGCGUGCAGGAUGAAGGCCCUAUGGGCCGUAAACUGCUUUUGUACGGGAAGAAACCUCACUACGUGUAGUGAGUUGACGGUACCGUGAGAAUAAGGAUCGGCUAACUUCGUGCCAGCCGCCGCAGUAA